AGGCUGGUCGCCACCCUGUAGAGGGAGUUGUUGACAGAGGCUCUCAGGCUCCCAACCCCAGCUCAGCAUGUAGCAAGGACCACCGAGCGCCAGCCUGGUUCCCUAUGAGGGGCUCGCCCCGGGCAUCCUGCCGCCAUGGAGAGUGUGCUCGGUGGGUGGGACACAGAUGUGGCUGCGUCACAGAGCAUCUUGGGAAGUGAGGGGCUCUCAGAGAUAAAGUCCACGUCUUGGGGAAGAGCAUUUUCCAGACCGGCAGAGCAAGCAGCCGGGAAAGGCCCUGAGAAGAACACGUCCUUGGCGGUUUGGGAGGAUGACCCCGGGGGGCUCGCUACCAGACCCUGGGGGAGGAGUACGUCAGCAUCAUCCAGGUGGACCCAUCUCAGACACAUGUGCCCUCCUCGCUGCGCCGUGGCGUGCUGGUGACACUGCAGGCCAUCCUGCCCUACCUGCUGGACAAGGCCCUGCUCCCCCUGGAGCAGGAGCUGCAGGCUGACUCCGACGGUGGGCGACCCUCGCAGGGGAGCCUGGUGCCAGGUGGGCGUGGCUGCUCAGGGGCGCGGCGCUGGAUGCGUCACCACACGGCCACGCUGACUGAGCAGCAGA
Molecule: small RNA, 603 nt
Filed under: Pongo abelii (Sumatran orangutan)
Lineage: Eukaryota; Metazoa; Chordata; Mammalia; Primates; Hominidae
Description: processed transcript
Source: RNAcentral